UUGUAGAAUGCAUGAAUGAAAGGGC
This 25-nucleotide non-coding RNA is filed under the name Mus musculus (house mouse). The record is from RNAcentral. Lineage: Eukaryota; Metazoa; Chordata; Mammalia; Rodentia; Muridae.